This 324-nucleotide unclassified non-coding RNA is filed under the name soil metagenome. Its description in RNAcentral is "partial contains 5.8S ribosomal RNA, internal transcribed spacer 2, and large subunit ribosomal RNA". The stretch from base 1 to 120 matches the Rfam family "5.8S ribosomal RNA", at positions 35 to 154 of the family's 154-position model. The record is from RNAcentral.
GAUGAAGAACGUAGCGAAAUGCGAUAAGUAGUGUGAAUUGCAGAAUUCAGUGAAUCAUCGAAUCUUUGAACGCACAUUGCGCCCCUUGGUAUUCCAUGGGGUAUGCCUGUUCGAGCGUCAUUUGUACCUUCAAGCUUUGCUUGGUGUUGGGUGUUUGUCCCUCGGGACUCGCCUUAAAGUCAUUGGCAGCCAGUGUUUUGGUUUUGAAGCGCAGCACAAGUCGCGAUUCAAGGCUAUCCGCCCGCUUCCACAAGCCUUUUUCACUUUUGACCUCGGAUCAGGUAGGGAUACCCGCUGAACUUAAGCAUAUCAAUAAGCGGAGGA